RNAcentral lists this ribosomal RNA (347 nucleotides) under uncultured bacterium. Its description in RNAcentral is "partial 16S ribosomal RNA". It matches the Rfam family "Bacterial small subunit ribosomal RNA", at positions 338 to 682 of the family's 1533-position model. The record is from RNAcentral.
CCUACGGGUGGCAGCAGUGAGGAAUAUUGGUCAAUGGGCGCGAGCCUGAACCAGCCAAGUAGCGUGAAGGAUGACUGCCCUACGGGUUGUAAACUUCUUUUAUAAAGGAAUAAAGUGAGGCACGUGUGCCUGUUUGUAUGUACUUUAUGAAUAAGGAUCGGCUAACUCCGUGCCAGCAGCCGCGGUAAUACGGAGGAUCCGAGCGUUAUCCGGAUUUAUUGGGUUUAAAGGGAGCGUAGGGGGGUUGUGAAGUCAGUUGUGAAAGUUUGCGGCUCAACCGUAAAAUUGCAUUUGAUACUGGCAGUCUUGCGUUCAGUUGCGGUCGGCGGAAUUCGUGUUGUCGCGGU